Molecule: transfer RNA, 61 nt
Filed under: Bambusiphaga taibaishana
Lineage: Eukaryota; Metazoa; Arthropoda; Insecta; Hemiptera; Delphacidae
Description: tRNA-Gly
Source: RNAcentral
UUUUUCUUAGUAUAUAAAGUAUAUUUAACUUCCAAUUAAAAGGUUUAAACUUAAGAAAAAA